AGGCCAGAGACUGACCACAGUAAGUUACUGCCACGUCUCCACAGGCAAGUUAUCCACCUCAAAGAUCUCCUGUACUGGCUGGCCAGAGUGGUUGUAGGGUCUGACAACUCACCUUGUUAGGAUUGAGGAUUCUGAAGACCUGGGUGAUGGGAAGACCACCCUGAGCUGGAAUUGUGUUCCCACUGGGGGCCUGUAACUGCAGCUGGAAACUCUGAACAUGGGAGAUUUGGGCAGAGCAUAAAGGCCUCCGGUUGGGCUCAGGCAAUCCUCCAUAUCCCGUGACUCCCAAACAUUUUUGGAUAAACACCCCAAUAACUC
Long non-coding RNA from Mastomys coucha (southern multimammate mouse), 318 nucleotides. RefSeq lists it as uncharacterized. The transcript has 2 exons. The record is from RefSeq and is a predicted model, not a curated record. NCBI's taxonomy places the organism in Eukaryota, Metazoa, Chordata, Mammalia, Rodentia, Muridae.